GCACUCAUCGUUCAACGGAUAGGACGCGAGCUUGCGGAGCUUGAAAUCCAGGUUCGAUUCCUGGUGGGUGCACCA
Molecule: transfer RNA, 75 nt
Filed under: Candidatus Falkowiibacteriota bacterium
Lineage: Bacteria; Candidatus Falkowiibacteriota
Description: Candidatus Falkowbacteria bacterium tRNA-Arg
Rfam family: tRNA
About the family: Transfer RNA (tRNA) molecules are approximately 80 nucleotides in length.
Source: RNAcentral